Papaver somniferum (opium poppy) is the source of this 4163-nucleotide RNA transcript. RefSeq lists it as uncharacterized. The record is from RefSeq and is a predicted model, not a curated record. The transcript is spliced from 5 exons. Lineage: Eukaryota; Viridiplantae; Streptophyta; Magnoliopsida; Ranunculales; Papaveraceae.
CCCUUCUCUAUCUUACCAAACUUCAUCUCUCCUUCUCUCUGUACAAAUAACAAAAAAAAAAUAAAUCAUUUUUGUAGUCUCGGAAGUCUCAUUAUCUCUUACUGUUUUUCAACUGAAACUACACUAACUAAAUACUAAUUCUCACAAUUCUGAUGUGAUUUUGAUUCACAAAAUCAAUACUAUGAUACAAACAAAGUAGUCUGGUCUGGACUUUUCUCCGCUGUCAAGAUUCGUUUUUCUCUCUGUCCUCUUUCUCCAGAAACAAAACAAAAGAGAAAGAAAAGAGAGAAACCUAAUUUCCUUUCUUUCCUUCUUUUCUUUACCACAGCACCGUCAUGAUUCUGCAAUUCUUAUCUUAUCAUAGAAAUUGAACAAAUUUCUAAAUUAGGGUUACUUUUCUUCUGAGUCAUGGGUUGUACAAGCUCUAAGCUUGAUGAUUUACCUGCAGUAAGUUUAUGCCGUGAACGUUGCAAGUUUCUUGAUGAUGCAAUUAAACAAAGGUAUGAGCUUGCUAAUUCUCAUGUCGCUUAUAUUGAUUCCCUGAAAGAAAUUGGUGUUUCUCUGAACCGAUUCUUUGAUCAUGAGAGUCUUAAUGAUUAUACUUAUUCUUCAAUCCCUUCCCCGAUUCUUAAUCUACCCCCUGCAAUGAAGAAAGCUGGUCUUGAUACCGAUAGUCAGCAGCCUGUAAUUUUUCAGUCCUCGGCCCACCAUAAUCACUCUCACUCCAAUUCUGGUUCUCAUCUUCAUUUUCAUAGUGAUGAUGACGACGACGAUGAGGAUGAAGAUGAUUCUGAUGGUGAUGGGUCACUUCAUAGUUCAGGAAAUAUGACUCCUUCACAUUAUAAUCAUCAAAAAAAUGAAACUCAAAGUGGUGGUGGUGGUGUCGGUGCUGGUGGUUAUGGAGGUGGUGUUGGUGGUUAUGGAGGAGGUGGUGGUGGUGGUUAUGGAGGUGUCGGUGGUGGGUUUAUGAACAUGAAUUUUAUGCAGAAUAGAUCAACUCAGUCUGUAGUUUAUCAGCAGCGACCAAUGAGUCCGGAUACUGUACAUAUGUCUGAAGCAUCAUCAUCUUAUUAUCAGAAUCCUAAUCAACAAAAUAAUGGUUCUUAUGGUUAUUAUAAUUAUCCUCCUCAACCUCAACCAAGUUAUUCCAAUUAUGGGUUCUAUGGCUCAGUCCCACCUUAUGGUUCUGCUCAACCAUAUGGCUCUGCUGCUCUGCCGCCUCAGAUUGCAGCUUCGACAUCUUCGAAGCCACCUCCUCCACCUUCACCACCUAGAGCUUCAGCUUGGGAUUUCUUAAACCCGUUUGAGACAGUCGAGAAGUAUUACCCCCCUACAACGCCUAGUCGUGAUUCAAGGGAAGUGAGAGAUGAAGAAGGGAUUCCUGAUUUAGAAGAUGAAAAUUAUGUUGACGAAGUAGUAAAAGAAGUUCAUGGUAAUCAGAGAUUUAGUGGUGGACCUGGGAAUAAUUACUCCAAGAUGGUGGCUGAUGAGGGGAAAAAAGAAAAUGCGGGUGAAGCAUUAUAUCAAGCCAGGCCAAGUGUGUCAAAGGAGAAAGAAAUGCAGUAUGAAGUUCAUGUGGUGGAUAAGGGUGUGGCUUCCAAGGAGAAACAGUCUGAUAAUCAUGGAAAUGCUGGAGCUUUUAAGGAUCGUGGGGUUUCUAGUGUUCUGCAGGAAAUUAGAGCUCAGUUUGAGAGGGCCUCACUUUCUGGAAAUGAGGUCUCUGAAAUUCUAGAGUCGGGAAAGCUUCCAUAUCAUCGGAAAAAUGUAGUUUAUCAAGCUUCAUCAAAGAUGUUGCAUUCAAUUACCCCUUCAUUGUCAGUAGUAUCUGCAUUGCCAUCUACAUCGAGACGUGCUCAAUCUCCAUCCUCCACGGAGAAGUCUGCUUCUGAUAUCUUGGACUUUGAGGAAGAUAGAGGGACGAGUUCAACACCUAUAAAGCUUUCUUCAACUUUGCAAAAGCUAUACAUGUGGGAAAAGAAGUUGUAUGCGGAAGUCAAGAGCGAGGAGAAGAUGAGGGUAGAUCAUGAGAGGAAGUCCAAGCGCUUGAAGCGUUUGGCUGAAAAGGGGGCUGAGGCUAUUAAAAUUGAGACGACUCAAAAAUUAGUCAGGACUUUAUCCACGAAGAUGCGAAUAGCAAUACAGGUUGUUGACAAGAUAUCAGAUAAGAUAAACAAGUUGAGGGAUGAAGAGUUGUGGCCACAGGUUAAUGAACUAAUUAAUGGAUUCGUCAGAAUGUGGAAAACUAUGCUUGAAUGUCAUCAUAGUCAAUGCCAGGUCAUAGUGGAAGCUAAAAACUUGGAUGCAUUUGUGUCCGGCAAAAACCUUAGUGAUGCGCAUCUUGAGGCGACAUUUCGACUCGAACUCGAGCUGCAGAGAUGGACUUUGAACUUCACCAGAUGGGUCGCCGCCCAAAAGGGUUACAUUAGAAACUUGAAUAGCUGGCUUUUAAAAUGCCUUCUUUAUGAACCUGAAGAAACAGAUGAUGGACUUCGUCCAUUUUCUCCUAGUAGUAUUGGUGCACCUAUUGUGUUUGUGAUAUGUAACCAAUGGUCACAAGCAAUGGAUAUUAUUUCCGAGAGGGAAGUUAUUGAUGCUAUGCGUAGUUUCACAAUGAGCGUGUUUCAGAUUUGGGAAGAACAGAAUCAAGCGAAGCAUAAUAUGAUACCAGCAGACAAAGAUAUUGAUAGGAAAGCUAAGGCCUUAGAAAGGGAGGAGCAGAAAAUGCAGAAAAUGGUUCAGGCAAUGGACAAACAAGUGGUUCAAAUCACAGGUCAUAUGGUACUACAGGCUGAUACAAAAAGUAGUAGUCUGCAAUCAGGCCUGAAGCUGAUUUUUCAGUCCAUGGAGAAGUUUACAGCUGACUCUAUGCAAGCAUUCAAUGCGCUUCAGGCACGUAUUGAAGAAGAACAACGUGCUCGUGUGAAUACAAAAAGGCCAUAGUUUUUAUAUUGAAGGAGCUGGUAUCAUUUCUCUAAAGCAUGGUUCUCUGGUUCUGUGAUCGAAAUUUUUCUAGAGAGUAGUACCAAAAGGUUUUCUGAAGCACAUGAAUCCCCUCCAUCGAAAUUCUCAUGUAUAUGAUUUGCUGCACCACAUUUUGGUUGUAGUUUUGCUACGCGAAAAGGUUUGCAGAAUGGCAAGUUACUUCCCCCGUGGUCCUUCAACUUGAGCCAAGUACCAACUGAGGUUCAGUUGCAACUGCAUGGAUGGGAGGAAGAUAACACGAGCUCAAGUGGUGGUUCACGGGUGAAAUGCAAAUAUAGUCGUGGCACUGGGAAAGGCAAUAUUCUUUUUUUCGGUUUUCGUUCUAGCUCCAGCAGUUGAGUGCGACUGCUGAUCGCACUUGUAUUGUCUGGCUUCAGGUAUCCGUGGCACAUGUGCCAAACCUGUCAUUCUGUGGUCAAGCAGCAACAACGUAUUCACCAUCAAAUGAAUCCUGCUAGCAAGUCUUGUACAGUUGCUUACUCUAUCUGUGGGCCUGAGAUGGACACUGAGUGAACAGAUGCAUCAAGGACGGUAAAGAGGGGUUACAAACUUACAAUGACUUGAGCUCGUGAUGGAGCUAAAGUCUACGAGAAAUUACCUUUUAGAGUGUCCAGUGGACCGCUUCUGUCACAUCUAUCCAUCGUCAUCAGACAGACAAAUCUUCUACUUACUCCAGUUUUGAGAGGAACAGAAUGGGAAGGAUUUGAACUACAUGCUGACAACAUCGGUUCACGGGAUGGUGCGCAUCAUCUGUGUGUAAAAUGUUUCCAACUAUGCAGUAAUUACGGAGAAAUGUGCAGAAUCUGCAGAUCAAGAAUUCAGAAAUCCAUGUUCCUGCCGUGGUUAUUCUUAAGCGGUUCCUAGAACAGCGAAACUGUCUCCAUUGGCAGAAGGAUUUACAAGAUUGUUGCUGAAAGCCAUAACUGUGGCAAAAGUUUUCCGCCAUUCAAAAAUGUCAAAUAGAAGGAUUCUUGGAAAUUGCUGUUGGAGAAAGUUCUCAGAAGCAGAGAAAUAAAUCAUUUUAGGUCGAGUGUUUUUAUUCCGUGGAAAGAUGCAGCAAGCCAGCAAGUUAGUGACACUUGUUAGUGGUGCGUGUGGAAUACAUGCCUUUAUUGUUCAUCUGAUUAUUUAAACAUAUCUAAGCAUAUUUAAUCAAAGUCGUUAAGACUCCUUUUGUAAAA